UACGUAGGUGGCAAGCGUUGUCCGGAUUUACUGGGCGUAAAGAGCGCGCAGGCGGUCGUUUAAGUCGAAUGUGAAAGCCCCCGGCUUAACUGGGGAGGGUCAUUCGAUACUGCUCGACUCGAAGGCAGGAGAGGGAAGUGGAAUUCCCGGUGUAGUGGUGAAAUGCGUAGAUAUCGGGAGGAACACCAGUGGCGAAGGCGGCUUCCUGGCCUGUUCUUGACGCUGAGGCGCGAAAGCUAGGGGAGCAAACGGG
This 253-nucleotide ribosomal RNA is filed under the name uncultured bacterium. RNAcentral's name for it is "partial 16S ribosomal RNA". It matches the Rfam family "Bacterial small subunit ribosomal RNA", at positions 524 to 776 of the family's 1533-position model. The record is from RNAcentral.